AAAAAAUGAUGGAAGCAAUGGAGGAGCAGCCUCUCGUCCUUUUGGUUUGAAGUCCAACCAAAUAAACGUGAAACAAACUAAAACAAUGCCGCAUGUUCAUUUAAGUGCAGCCAGCCGAAUUAAGAAGAAAAAAGAAAGGAAAAAAAGGAAAAAAAAAAGACCUCCCGUCCCUUUAGUUCGAAGUCCAUUUAAAUAAACUUGAAACAAACUAAAACGAUGCCGCAU
This 225-nucleotide long non-coding RNA is filed under the name Phoenix dactylifera (date palm). Its description in RNAcentral is "long non-coding RNA (PDAC_LNC000034)". The record is from RNAcentral. Lineage: Eukaryota; Viridiplantae; Streptophyta; Magnoliopsida; Arecales; Arecaceae.